This 654-nucleotide ribosomal RNA is filed under the name Bacillus sp. UST020129-022. Its description in RNAcentral is "bacterial SSU rRNA". It matches the Rfam family "Bacterial small subunit ribosomal RNA", at positions 357 to 1004 of the family's 1533-position model. Lineage: Bacteria; Bacillati; Bacillota; Bacilli; Caryophanales; Bacillaceae. The record is from RNAcentral.
AGGGAUCUUCCGCAUGGACGAAAUCUGACGGAGCAACGCCGUGUGAACGAUGAAGGUCUUCGGAUCGUAAAGUUCUGUUGUUAGGGAAGAACAAGUGCCAGAGGAAAUGCUGGUACCUUGACGGUACCUAACCAGAAAGCCACGGCUAACUACGUGCCAGCAGCCGCGGUAAUACGUAGGUGGCAAGCGUUGUCCGGAAUUAUUGGGCGUAAAGCGCGCGCAGGCGGUUUCUUAAGUCUGAUGUGAAAGCCCACAGCUCAACUGUGGAGGGCCAUUGGAAACUGGGGAACUUGAGUACAGAAGAGGAGAGUGGAAUUCCACGUGUAGCGGUGAAAUGCGUAGAUAUGUGGAGGAACACCAGUGGCGAAGGCGACUCUCUGGUCUGUAACUGACGCUGAGGCGCGAAAGCGUGGGUAGCAAACAGGAUUAGAUACCCUGGUAGUCCACGCCGUAAACGUUGAGUGCUAGGUGUUAGGGGGUUUCCGCCCCUUAGUGCUGAAGUUAACGCAUUAAGCACUCCGCCUGGGGAGUACGGCCGCAAGGCUGAAACUCAAAAGAAUUGACGGGGGCCCGCACAAGCGGUGGAGCAUGUGGUUUAAUUCGAAGCAACGCGAAGAACCUUACCAGGUCUUGACAUCUUCCGCUAUCCCUAGA